This 459-nucleotide ribosomal RNA is filed under the name uncultured Treponema sp. RNAcentral's name for it is "partial 16S ribosomal RNA". It matches the Rfam family "Bacterial small subunit ribosomal RNA", at positions 341 to 792 of the family's 1533-position model. Lineage: Bacteria; Pseudomonadati; Spirochaetota; Spirochaetia; Treponematales; Treponemataceae. The record is from RNAcentral.
ACGGAAGGCGGCAGCUAAGAAUAUUCCGCAAUGGACGAAAGUCUGACGGAGCGACGCCGCGUGGAUGAUGAAGGCCGAAAGGUUGUAAAAUCCUUUUGGACUGGAAGAAUAAGCAGUGCAGGUAAUGGUGUUGUGGUGACGGUACAGUUUGAAUAAGCAACGGCUAAUUACGUGCCAGCAGCCGCGGUAACACGUAAGUUGCGAGCGUUGUUCGGAAUUAUUGGGCGUAAAGGGCAUGUAGGCGGUUAUCUAAGCUUGGUGUGAAAGGCAGGGGCUCAACUCCUGGACUGCAUUGAGAACUGGAUGACUAGAGUUACUGAAGUGGAAUCAGAAUUCCAGGUGUAGGGGUGAAAUCUGUAGAUAUCUGGAAGAAUACCAAUGGCGAAGGCAGGUUUCAGGCAGAUAACUGACGCUGAGGUGCGAAGGUGCGGGGAGCAAACAGGAUUAGAUACCCUGGUA